Molecule: transfer RNA, 71 nt
Filed under: Noturus insignis (margined madtom)
Lineage: Eukaryota; Metazoa; Chordata; Actinopteri; Siluriformes; Ictaluridae
Also listed under: 1 other name
Description: tRNA-Thr
Rfam family: tRNA
About the family: Transfer RNA (tRNA) molecules are approximately 80 nucleotides in length. Their secondary structure includes four short double-helical elements and three loops (D, anti-codon, and T loops).
Source: RNAcentral
GCUCUAAUAGCUUAACCAUAAAGUACCGGUCUUGUAAUCCGGAGAAUGAGGGUUGGACCCCUCUUAGUGCC